Molecule: ribosomal RNA, 1815 nt
Filed under: metagenome
Description: bacterial LSU rRNA
Rfam family: Bacterial large subunit ribosomal RNA
Source: RNAcentral
UCAAGCGUUUAAGGGCGAUUGGCGGAUGCCUUGGCACUGUAAGACGAUGAAGGACGUGGUAUACUGCGAUAAGUUUCGGGGAGCUGUAUGCAAGCUUUGAUCCGAAAAUUUCCGAAUGGGGAAACCCACCACUUUAUGUGGUACUUUAAACUGAAUUCAUAGGUUUAAAGAGACAACCUGGAGAACUGAAACAUCUAAGUAACCAGAGGAAAAGAAAUCAAUUGAGAUUCCGUUAGUAGUGGCGAGCGAAAGCGGACUAGGCCAGUAAUUUUGUUAGUAUAAUUUGAAUAGUUUGGAAAAACUAACCACAGAGGGUGAUAGUCCCGUAAAAGUAAUGCUGAUUCUAAGUUCUUGAGUAAAGCGGGACACGUGAAAUCCUGCUCGAAUAUAGGGGGACCACCCUCUAAGCCUAAAUACUCUUCAGUGACCGAUAGUGAACUAGUACCGUGAGGGAAAGGUGAAAAGAACCCCUAUUAGGGGAGUGAAAUAGAACCUGAAACCGCAUGCCUACAAUCAGUCGAAGCUCUUUUUAGAGUGACGGCGUACCUUUUGUAUAAUGGGUCAGUGACUUAAUUUAUUAAGCAAGCUUAAGCCAUCUAGGUGUAGGCGCAGCGAAAGCAAGUCUUAAUAGGGCGAUUAGUUUAAUGAAUUAGACCCGAAAACGAAUGAGCUUACCAUGAGCAGGUUGAAAGCAAGGUAACACUUGCCGGAGGACCGAACCAGUUGACGUUGAAAAGUCUUUGGAUGACUUGUGGUAAGGGGUGAAAGGCCAACCAAAUUCGUAGAUAGCUGGUUUUCCGCGAAAACUAUUUAGGUAGUGCGUUGAAUAAACAUAUGUUUGGAGGUAGAGCACUAAACGGGCUAGGGGGGAGAAAUCCCUACCAAACCUGAUAAAACUCCGAAUGCCAAACGUAAUUCCUCAACAGACAGACUGUGGGUGCUAAGGUCCAUGGUCGAGAGGGGAACAGCCCAGAUCACCAGAUAAGGUCCCUAAAUCAUGAUUAAGUGUGAAAGGAUGUGGAGAUUCCUUAACAGCCGGGAGGUUGGCUUAGAAGCAGCCAUCCUUUAAAGAUAGCGUAACAGCUCACCGGUCUAAUAGAGUUUCUGCGCCGAAGAUGUAACGGGGCUAAAAUCAUAUACCGAAUCUGUGGGUUUAUAAAAUUUUCUAAUUUUAUAAGCGGUAGCGGAACGUUCUGUAAGCCUGCGAAGGGAUACCUGUGAGGGAUCCUGGAGGUAUCAGAAGUGCGAAUGCUGACAUAAGUAACGAUAAAUGAAGUGAAAAACUUCAUCGCCGAAAAUCCAAGGGUUUCUGCGCAAGGUUAAUCCGCGCAGAGUUAGUCGGCACCUAAGGCGAGGGCGAAAGCCGUAGUCGAUGGAAAUAAGGUUAAUAUUCCUUAACCAGAUGGAAGUGACGGAUCUUGUAAGUUGUGAGUUCUUAAUGGAUUGAACUUGCCGCGAAAAAGUCCCAGGAAAUAGCUCCAUCAUUAGACCGUACCCGAAACCGACACAGGUAGAUUAAUAGAGUAUAUUUAGGCGCUUGAGAGAAUGAUGUUGAAGGAACUCGGCAAAAUGCUUCUGUAACUUCGGAAUAAAGAAGACCUUUUUUUGGGCAACCAUUAAAAGGUGGCACAAGCCAGGGAGAAGCGACUGUUUAUCAAAAACACAGGGCUCUGCUAACACGUAAGUGGAUGUAUAGGGUCUGACGCCUGCCCGGUGCUGGAAGGUUAAUGCGAUGGGUGCAAGCUCAUUUCUGAAGCCCCAGUAAACGGCGGCCGUAACUAUAACGGUCCUAAGGUAGCGAAAUUCCUUGUCGGG